RNAcentral lists this ribosomal RNA (462 nucleotides) under uncultured bacterium. Its description in RNAcentral is "partial 16S ribosomal RNA". It matches the Rfam family "Bacterial small subunit ribosomal RNA", at positions 28 to 507 of the family's 1533-position model. The record is from RNAcentral.
GACGAACGCUGGCGGCGUGCUUAACACAUGCAAGUCGAGCGGAAAGGCCCUUCGGGGUCCUCGAGCGGCGAACGGGUGAGUAACACGUGAGUAACCUGCCCCAGACUUUGGGAUAACCCUCGGAAACGGGGGCUAAUACCGGAUACGACACAGCUUCGCAUGGGGUCUGUGUGGAAAGUUUUUCGGUUUGGGAUGGGCUCGCGGCCUAUCAGCUUGUUGGUGGGGUGAUGGCCUACCAAGGCGACGACGGGUAGCCGGCCUGAGAGGGCGACCGGCCACACUGGGACUGAGACACGGCCAAGACUCCUACGGGAGGCAGCGGUGGGGAAUAUUGCACAAUGGGCGGAAGCCUGAUGCAGCGACGCCGCGUGAGGGAUGACGGCCUUCGGGUUGUAAACCUCUUUCAGCAGGGACGAAGCGUAAGUGACGGUACCUGAAGAAGAAGCGCCGGCCAACUACGUG